Long non-coding RNA from Bos taurus (domestic cattle), 1571 nucleotides. The record is from Ensembl. Lineage: Eukaryota; Metazoa; Chordata; Mammalia; Artiodactyla; Bovidae.
ACCCCACCCUAGGCAUCUCUUUCUCUCUCCACAAAAAGAAAGUCUUGGAGUGGGCUUUUUUCUUUCUCUUCAUGUUUGCCCUUUUCCACAUGUAGAGAAGUAACUAUUCUGAUUCCUGUAAUAUGCCCUUGUUUAUAGUGCAGUGGUUCUGUAUUAGGGUGUGCAGUAGAAUCACCUGGAAGGCCUGUGAAAUGGAACGUCUAGGCCCCGCCCCUGGGGAUUUCUGAUUGGUGGGUCUGGGCCCAAUAAGCCUGUGUUUCCAAGUUCCCAGGUGGUGCCAAUGCUGCGCCGCCAAGUCUCAGGCUGGGAACCACCGCUUUAGGUCCACAGUCUCCUCCCUAGAAGCCUCAGGAAACAAUAAAUUCAAAAUAAAUUAGCCUUCAAAUCAGAUGGAAAGAUACAUUCAUCCUUUAAGUCCUAUUGUGAGGAGGUGAAUUACAAAUGGAAACUUCAGGGCAGAGGAUGUGUGUUUCAUCACUUUUCUAGCUUAUCAGUGUCACAACAACCUCAUGGAAGAGGCAGUAGGGGGAUGCUGCUGCAGAUGGUGCGUGAGAGAGGAAGAAGUUCCUUCAUUCAGAGGCAUCCACUCAACUGAUUCUGCUGCUGCUGCUGCUGCUAAGUCACUUCAGUUGUGUCCAACUCUGUGCGACCCCAUAGACGGCAGCCCACCAGGCUCCCCUGUCCCUGGGAUUCUCCAGGCAAGAACACAGGAGUGGGUUGCCAUUCCUUCUCCAAUGCAUGAAAGUGAAAAGUGAAAGUGAAGUCACUCAGUCAUGUCCGACUUUUAGUGACCCCAUGGACUGCAGCCCAUCAGGCUCCUCCAUCCAUGGAAUUUUCCAGGCAAGAGUACUGGAGUGGGUUCCCAUUGCCUUCUCCAUUUUAGAUUCUAUAUAUAAGUGAAAACAGAUUUUUAUCUUCCUCUGUCUGAUUUUUUUCACUAACUAUAGUAACCUCCAGGUCUAUAUGUGUUGCAAAUAACAAGAUUUCAUUCUUUUAUAUAGCUGCAUAAUUUUCCAGUGUGUGUACAUCUAUCUCAUAUCUUUUUUAUCCAUCUGUUUGUUGAUGAACACUUAGGUUGCUUCUGUUAUCUCGGCUAUUGUAAAUAUGCUGCAAUAAAAAUUAAAACUAACUUUUCAAAUUAGUGUUUUCAUUUUCUUUAGAUGUAUGCCCAGGAGUAGAAUUGCUGGAUCACAUGGUAGUUCUAUUUUUAGUUUUUCUGAGGAACCUGCCUACUGUUCUCCAUAGCAGCUGCACCAAUUUACCUAUUUACAUUCCUAUCGAAGUGUACUAGGAGCCCUGGUCUUCAUAUCUCUCUGAUACUUGUUACUUCUUGUCUUUAGGACUACCGUCAUCCUAACAACUGUGAGGUGGUAUCUCACACUGGUUUUGAUGUGCAUUUUCCUGAUGAUUAGUGGUGGGGAGCAUCUUUUCAUGUGCCGGCUGGCCAUCUACAUGUCUUUUUGGAAAAACGACUCUCUCUUCUUCAAUUCUGAAUGAUAACUUUGCUGGGUCAUAUCAUUGGUUGUAGUUUUUGUUUUUGUUUUUUUUUCCCUCCCCCCUCUUUAAGAACU